RNAcentral lists this long non-coding RNA (509 nucleotides) under Brassica napus (rape). RNAcentral's name for it is "long non-coding RNA (BNAP_LNC015016)". The record is from RNAcentral. Lineage: Eukaryota; Viridiplantae; Streptophyta; Magnoliopsida; Brassicales; Brassicaceae.
GCGGGCGAUAAUCUUCUUCCUAGUGCCUUGAACGUUUAGCUGGAGCCUAGACGAUUUUAGGCGGUCUAGGAGAAUUUUUAACAAACAAUAUAUAUUAUAUAUAAAAAAUAAAAUAAAACUUGCUUUUGUCGUGAAAAUUGAAAUUUGUUUUUUAAAAAAACUCAACUUAAUAUAGUGUGCAAACAUAAACUAUAAAAUAAGAAAAGAUGUUUGUCCCAUAAAUUCUAGCACUGAUCUAUGUACAUGAAUUUCACAAGAUAUCACAAGUUAAAUUUAUCGAUACAACGCUGACGUUAUAGUUUUGUUUUCCAUUUUUUUAAAAUAAUAUAUAUCAACUUUUAAUUUUAAAAAUAAAUAUUUCCAAAUAUAAGAAGAUAAAUCCAAGGAAAUAAAGUUGAAAAUAGUAUCUAAUUUUAAACUAGCUAAAAUAAAACAGAAAAACCAUUGUUCAAGAAAUCAUUACGCCGCGGUUAGGCAUUUUAUAGAGAAAUAUUUUUUAAGCCUUUCGA